Molecule: long non-coding RNA, 891 nt
Organism: Helianthus annuus (common sunflower)
Lineage: Eukaryota; Viridiplantae; Streptophyta; Magnoliopsida; Asterales; Asteraceae
Exons: 2
Source: RefSeq, a predicted model, not a curated record
GUGUGUGUUCUGUACGUGAUCAGGGGAAGGCUCUAGAGAGCCAAACCCUAAUUCAUCAUAUAUCAACCAAUUGAAGCAUGAAUCGAGGCUCAAAUUCAAGAAGGAACAUGAAUUAACGAUCACCCAAGCUAGAGGAUCAUAAGGAAUCAUGUCAAGAUGGAUGGGAGCAUUGAAGGCUAACGGGCUAAGAAGACUCAAUCAAGUAAGCGAACGAGAAUACGGACGCGCAAGGUAAGUGAACUCCGAACUUACCCUUUAGUUUGGUAAUGUAUUUAUGAUAUAUGUUAAUUAUUGAAUGCAAUGUAAGAAGAUAUGGAUCGAUGCUAUUACUAAGUUAAGUUUUAAUGGAAUGGGUUGGAAGUGGUUAAGAAAGAGAUUCGAUUAGGUUUGGGUAAGAAAGGGAACUUACAUAAUGAAAUUAUGCUUGAAUGAAUAAGAUGAGUUAUGUGUAUUUGAGGACAUGUUCAUAUAAAUGGAAGCUAAUGUACUAAUCGUUUUUCUAUUGAGAAUUAAUGUGAAGUAUAGGCAUGUUAACAAAGGAAGUGAAGGUUGACUCCACAAUCCGAUGCGAGUAAUCGAAUGGAUGGAUAAAGGGGCUAGUAUAAGAAAAAGCAUGAUAUGUUGACGCGCUAUUAUGCUUGUGCUAAGAUUUUUGUAUUAUGUCACCGGUUGCUAAUAAUGUGUUUGAAUGUGGUGACUGCAAGCUAUACAUGUUUGGAUGUUUCAUCUAGAAGUGUACGCGGUUGAAGAUCGAGUCAAGACACGGAUUGUAUGUGGGUGUGUACGUAGUCACAUAAUUGAGACAUGUAUGUUAGUUUUUGGAUUAAAUUAUAAAAAGAGAAUAAUGUAUUUAAAUGAAAGAAAGAAUAUCAUGAAGGAAAUUUUUUUUAA